This 391-nucleotide ribosomal RNA is filed under the name Mesorhizobium sp. RNAcentral's name for it is "partial 23S ribosomal RNA". It matches the Rfam family "Bacterial large subunit ribosomal RNA", at positions 1157 to 1655 of the family's 2925-position model. The record is from RNAcentral. Lineage: Bacteria; Pseudomonadati; Pseudomonadota; Alphaproteobacteria; Hyphomicrobiales; Phyllobacteriaceae.
CUUUGCGCCGAAAAUGUAACGGGGCUCAAGCCAUACACCGAAGCUUAGGGUUCGUAGCAAUACGAGCGGUAGCGGAGCGUUCUGUAAGCUGAUGAAGCCAUACCCGUGAGGGGUGGUGGAGGUAUCAGAAGUGCGAAUGCUGACAUGAGUAACGUAAGGGGAGUGAGAGACUCCCCCGCCGAAAGUCCAAGGGUUCCUGCUUAAAGCUAAUCUGAGCAGGGUUAGCCGGCCCCUAAGUCGAGGCAGAAAUGCGUAGACGAUGGGAACCACGUUAAUAUUCGUGGGCCUGGAGGAAGUGACGGAUCAUUGAGGUAGUCCAAUCUUAUCGGAUUGAACGGGCUGCUGCGUGGUUCCAGGAAAUAGCUCCUCCUUAUAGACCGUACCCGAAACC